UACGGGGGGAGCAAGCGUUGUUCGGAAUUACUGGGCGUAAAGCGUGCGCAGGCGAUUAUGCAAGACAGAUGUGAAAUCCCCGGGCUCAACCUGGGAACUGCAUUUGUGACUGCAUAGCUAGAGUACGGUAGAGGGGGAUGGAAUUCCGCGUGUAGCAGUGAAAUGCGUAGAUAUGCGGAGGAACACCGAUGGCGAAGGCAAUCCCCUGGACCUGUACUGACGCUCAUGCACGAAAGCGUGGGGAGCAAACAGG
Molecule: ribosomal RNA, 253 nt
Filed under: uncultured bacterium
Lineage: Bacteria
Description: partial 16S ribosomal RNA
Rfam family: Bacterial small subunit ribosomal RNA
Source: RNAcentral